RNAcentral lists this ribosomal RNA (460 nucleotides) under uncultured bacterium. RNAcentral's name for it is "partial 16S ribosomal RNA". It matches the Rfam family "Bacterial small subunit ribosomal RNA", at positions 338 to 795 of the family's 1533-position model. The record is from RNAcentral.
CCUACGGGAGGCAGCAGUGAGGAAUAUUGGUCAAUGGACGAGAGUCUGAACCAGCCAAGUAGCGUGAAGGAUGACUGCCCUAUGGGUUGUAAACUUCUUUUAUAUGGGAAUAAAACGUUCCACGUGUGGGAUUUUGUAUGUACCAUAUGCAUAAGGAUCGGCUAACUCCGUGCCAGCAGCCGCGGUAAUACGGAGGAUCCGAGCGUUAUCCGGAUUUAUUGGGUUUAACGGGAGCGUAGGUGGAUUGUUAAGUCAGUUGUGAAAGUUUGCGGCUCAACCGUAAAAUUGCAGUUGAAACUGGCAGUCUUGAGUACAGUAGAGGUGGGCGGAAUUCGUGGUGUAGCGGUGAAAUGCUUAGAUAUCACGAAGAACUCCGAUUGCGAAGGCAGUUCACUGGACUGCAACUGACACUGAGGCUCGAAAGUGUGGGUAUCAAACAGGAUUAGAUACCCCAGUAGUC